CCUACGGGAGGCAGCAGUGGGGGAUAUUGCACAAUGGGGGAAACCCUGAUGCAGCGACGCCGCGUGGGCGAAGAAGUAUUUCGGUAUGUAAAGCCCUAUCAGCAGGGAAGAAGAAAUGACGGUACCUCUUGAAUAAGCCACGGCUAACUACGUGCCAGCAGCCGCGGUAAUACGUAGGUGGCAAGCGUUGUCCGGAUUUACUGGGUGUAAAGGGCGUGCAGCCGGGAAGACAAGUCAGAUGUGAAAUCCCGCGGCUCAACCGCGGAACUGCAUUUGAAACUGUUUUUCUUGAGUACCGGAGAGGUCAUCGGAAUUCCUUGUGUAGCGGUGAAAUGCGUAGAUAUAAGGAAGAACACCAGUGGCGAAGGCGGAUGACUGGACGGCAACUGACGGUGAGGCGCGAAAGCGUGGGGAGCAAACAGGAUUAGAUACCCGGGUC
Molecule: ribosomal RNA, 439 nt
Filed under: uncultured bacterium
Lineage: Bacteria
Description: partial 16S ribosomal RNA
Rfam family: Bacterial small subunit ribosomal RNA
Source: RNAcentral